Molecule: unclassified non-coding RNA, 380 nt
Filed under: uncultured Gemmatimonadaceae bacterium
Lineage: Bacteria; Pseudomonadati; Gemmatimonadota; Gemmatimonadia; Gemmatimonadales; Gemmatimonadaceae
Description: contains 16S-23S intergenic spacer region
Source: RNAcentral
UCCGGUUUGGCACCGGCAGUCUUUCUAGAGUCCCCGACUUUACUCGCUGGCAACUAGAAACGGGGGUUGCGCUCGUUGCGGGACUUAACCCAACAUCUCACGACACGAGCUGACGACAGCCAUGCAGCACCUGUGCAUGGACUCCGAAGAGGGCCUCUGGUUUCUCAGAGGUUUCCCAUGCAUGUCAAGCCUAGGUAAGGUUCUUCGCGUUGCGUCGAAUUAAACCACAUGCUCCACCGCUUGUGCGGGCCCCCGUCAAUUCCUUUGAGUUUCAGCCUUGCGGCCGUACUCCCCAGGCGGGGCACUUAAUGCGUUAGCGACGGCACUCAGAGGGUCGCUCCCCCAAGCACCUAGUGCCCAUCGUUUACGGCGUGGACUAC